GUUGAACGGACUCAUAUUGAAACCUAGUGAUGUAUGAGUUAGUGGCGGACGGGUGAGUAACGCGUGGAGAACCUGCCGUAUACUGGGGGAUAACACUUAGAAAUAGGUGCUAAUACCGCAUAAGCGCACAGUAUCGCAUGAUACAGUGUGAAAAACUCCGGUGGUACAAGAUGGACCCGCGUCUGAUUAGCUAGUUGGAGGGGUAACGGCCCACCAAGGCGACGAUCAGUAGCCGACUUGAGAGAGUGAUCGGCCACAUUGGGACUGAGACACGGCCCAAACUCCUACGGGAGGCAGCAGUAGGGAAUAUUGCACAAUGGGGGAAACCCUGAUGCAGCGACGCCGCGUGAAGGAUGAAGUAUUUCGGUAUGUAAAGCUCUAUCAGCAGGAAAGAAAAUGACGGUACCUGACUAAGAAGCCCCGGCUAACUACGUGCCAGCAGCCGCGGUAAUACGUAGGGGGCAAGCGUUAUCCGGAUUUACUGGGUGUAAAGGGAGCGUAGACGGUGAAGCAAGUCUGAAGUGAAAGGCGGGGGCUCAACCCCCGGACUGCUUUGGAAACUGUUUGACUGGAGUGCAGGAGAGGUAAGUGGAAUUCCUAGUGUAGCGGUGAAAUGCGUAGAUAUUAGGAGGAACACCAGUGGCGAAGGCGGCUUACUGGACUGUAACUGACGUUGAGGCUCGAAAGCGUGGGGAGCAAACAGGAUUAGAUACCCUGGUAGUCCACGCCGUAAAC
This 735-nucleotide ribosomal RNA is filed under the name uncultured bacterium. RNAcentral's name for it is "bacterial SSU rRNA". It matches the Rfam family "Bacterial small subunit ribosomal RNA", at positions 61 to 807 of the family's 1533-position model. The record is from RNAcentral.